GUUUAUGAACAAGUAGAUGUUUGACGCUCUCUUUUGAUAUCCUCAUUUAAUGUUUUUGGAACAUUGUUCGCAAAUUUCGGCAGAUUGAACUUAAAGCCAUGUUUGUUAUCGGAAGUUGUUGCUGUUGUUCCCUACGGACGGGCUGCAUCAUUAUCGGUUUUGUUUUAUUAAUAUUGACUAUAUCAAGUAUAACAUAUAAUGCAUUAGACAACUCAGAUGCUGACGGGAGCCGGGGUGCAUUCGGAAUUCUUUCAAUUAUUCUCGCAGUUAUAACAAUAAUAGUGAUAAUCGGUUUCAUAGUAUGCGUAUUUGCGGAAUAUCGCAGCCUCGCCCUUCUUUUGAUGAUUGCAUUUAUAGGAAUACAAGUAAUAUCGACGGUGAUAUAUAUUUUUAGUGUUACAAUAACAUGGAUGCUAAUUAUAUCGACUGUGAUUUUGUUCGUGAUCUUUUUAUAUUUUUUAUUGGUGGUUUAUUCAUAUGCAUACGAAGAAGAAGAGUACGAUGCAUAGUAACCAUGGACAAAUGAACAAUAGUACAAAUUAUUCCACGUAUUCAAAAUUGCAAAAUGGUGUAUGGUCAGAUAUAUUAUAUAAUAACAAAUGAAAACAUUGUUUUCUCAGCGAA
This is a long non-coding RNA of Scaptodrosophila lebanonensis, 624 nucleotides long. RefSeq lists it as uncharacterized. NCBI's taxonomy places the organism in Eukaryota, Metazoa, Arthropoda, Insecta, Diptera, Drosophilidae. The record is from RefSeq and is a predicted model, not a curated record. The transcript has 3 exons.